UACGAAGGGGGCUAGCGUUGUCCGGAUUUAUUGGGCGUAAAGAGCGUGUAGGCGGCCAGGUAGGUCCGCUGUGAAAACUCGAGGCUCAACCUCGAGAUGUCGGCGGAAACCAUCUGGCUAGAGUCCGGAAGAGGAGAGUGGAAUUCCUGGUGUAGCGGUGAAAUGCGCAGAUAUCAGGAAGAACACCCGUGGCGAAGGCGGCUCUCUGGGACGGUACUGACGCUGAGACGCGAAAGCGUGGGGAGCGAACAGG
This 253-nucleotide ribosomal RNA is filed under the name uncultured bacterium. RNAcentral's name for it is "partial 16S ribosomal RNA". It matches the Rfam family "Bacterial small subunit ribosomal RNA", at positions 524 to 776 of the family's 1533-position model. The record is from RNAcentral.